GCCUGGGUGGCUCAGUCGGUUGAGCAUCCGACUUUGGCUCAGCAUGAUCUCGCAGUUCGUGAGUUCAAGCCCCACAUUGGGCU
Molecule: transfer RNA, 83 nt
Filed under: Felis catus (domestic cat)
Lineage: Eukaryota; Metazoa; Chordata; Mammalia; Carnivora; Felidae
Rfam family: tRNA
About the family: Transfer RNA (tRNA) molecules are approximately 80 nucleotides in length.
Source: Rfam by way of RNAcentral